AGAGUUUGAUCAUGGCUCAGGACGAACGCUGGCGGCGUGCCUAAUGCAUGCAAGUCGAGCGACGCAUACGGGGCUUGCCCUGUAUGACGGAGCGGCGAACGGGUGAGUAACACGUGAGCAACCUGCCCCGAAGACCGGGAUAGCCCGAGGAAACUCGGAUUAAUACCGGAUACCUUCACACCUCCGCAUGGGGGAGUGAAGAAAUGCCUUUGUGCUUCGGGAUGGGCUCGCGGCCUAUCAGCUAGUUGGUGAGGUAACAGCUCACCAAGGCGUCGACGGGUAGCUGGUCUGAGAGGACGAUCAGCCACACUGGGACUGAGACACGGUCCAGACUCCUACGGGAGGCAGCAGCAGGGAAUAUUGCACAAUGGGCGAAAGCCUGAUGCAGCAACGCCGCGUGCGGGAAGAAGGCCUUCGGGUUGUAAACCGCUUUUGUCAGGGAAGAAACGCUUCGAGAUAAUACCUUGGAGUAAUGACGGUACCUGAAGAAUAAGCACCGGCUAACUACGUGCCAGCAGCCGCGGUAAUACGUAGGGUGCAAGCGUUAAUCGGAAUUACUGGGCGUAAAGCGUGCGCAGGCGGCCAUGCAAGACAGAUGUGAAAUCCCCGGGCUCAACCUGGGAACUGCAUUUGUGACUGCAUGGCUGGAGCGCGGCAGAGGGGGAUGGAAUUCCGCGUGUAGCAGUGAAAUGCGUAGAUAUGCGGAGGAACACCGAUGGCGAAGGC
RNAcentral lists this ribosomal RNA (726 nucleotides) under uncultured bacterium. Its description in RNAcentral is "bacterial SSU rRNA". It matches the Rfam family "Bacterial small subunit ribosomal RNA", at positions 8 to 722 of the family's 1533-position model. The record is from RNAcentral.